GUGUCAAUGAGCCCUUUAAAACCACCUGUCUCUUAACUGGAUCUUUCCCUGAUUUUAGGGUGUGUAUGGGCAGGUGAUGCCUUUAAGCAAGCUGAACUGGUUUUUAACUGGUUUUCUGCAGGGGGAAUUUCCUUGGAUUUUGAAGCUGUAUGUAGGCGUUAGGUGGAAAACAAGACACCUAAACCCUUCCUUGCCUUCCACUGUUAUAGAAUCCAGAAAUGUAGGUCUGCUCUUAAAAGCCUCCAAUGUUGGGGAUUCCGCAACCUCCCUUGGAAGUCUAUUCCAGAGCUUAAUUAGCCUUAUAGGUAGAAAGUGUUUCCUAGUAUCUAACCUAAAUCUCCCUCAAUGCAGAUUAAGCUGAUUACUUGGAGAACAUGAACAUGGAGAACGAUUGAGCGCCAUCCUGCAACAACCCUAACAUAUGUGAAAACUGUUCUCAGGUCCCCCUGUGUGUCACUCACAAUUGGACACAGUUCUCCGGCUGAGGCCUCACCAGUGCUAAGCAGAUUGGCACAAUUACCUCCCAUGUUUUAGACCAAUUCUCCAAUUUAUCAAGGCCAUUUUGAAUUCUAAUCUUGCCCUCCGAAGUGCUGGUAACCUCUCCUGGCUUGGUGUCAUCUGGAAAUUUUGUGCAUUACCUUUGACGACACAGAGACGUGGAUAGAAGGUCGGAUCAACAGUAUUUUGUAAUCUAAAGAGUAGAAAGUAUCAGAGGGGUAGCCGCGUUAGUCUGGAUCUGUAAAAGCGGCAAAGAGUCCUGUGUCACCUUAUAGACUAACAAACAUAUUGGAGCAUGAGCUUUCGUGGGUGAAUACUCACUUCAUUGGAUGCAUGUCAGAGUAAAAACUGUUUCAUUAUAUUUUCUUGGGAGAAUGGAAAAAUGCCGUGCAGAAGAAGAAAAAAAAAACAGCCUCAGAAAGAUUAGAAGUGUAGCAGGAAACUUCUAAAAUGUGGUAAGAAAGAACAGAAAG
Long non-coding RNA from Gopherus flavomarginatus (Mexican gopher tortoise), 971 nucleotides. RefSeq lists it as uncharacterized. NCBI's taxonomy places the organism in Eukaryota, Metazoa, Chordata, Testudines, Testudinidae. The transcript is spliced from 4 exons. The record is from RefSeq and is a predicted model, not a curated record.